Molecule: non-coding RNA, 72 nt
Organism: Coccinella septempunctata (seven-spotted ladybird)
Lineage: Eukaryota; Metazoa; Arthropoda; Insecta; Coleoptera; Coccinellidae
Source: the annotation of a RefSeq genome assembly
UCCUUCGGUGGCUCAAUGGCAGAGCGCCUGACCAGCAAUCAGGGGUCGUAGGUUCGAGUCCUGCUCGAGGAG